RNAcentral lists this long non-coding RNA (317 nucleotides) under Nicotiana benthamiana. Its description in RNAcentral is "long non-coding RNA (NBEN_LNC029425)". Lineage: Eukaryota; Viridiplantae; Streptophyta; Magnoliopsida; Solanales; Solanaceae. The record is from RNAcentral.
UUUAAUUACCUUCAGGCAUGCUAUGUCUCUUAUAUUAUGCUAAUCCAUUUCCCUUUAUUCCCUUUGUAUGUGAGUAUUGUCCUGGGUCAUAGCAGCACUAUGGAUUGCUGUCUGUGAUCUAGAACUAGGCUUUUCUGAGUCUUUACUCGAUUUGUUUCUCAUUCCCUUUCCCCUCAAUAGGCUGAGCUCUAAUUUGGGUCUGUUGGUGUCCUGAUCAUCAUUCAGACCUAAGUUUUACUCAAUAAGAGUCUGCUCUUAUUUGUUUGAAUCUGAGUAGGAGGUUAGGGGUGUUCCAGUCUAUGCCAUGGCUGGGUAUG